GAUGAACGCUGGCGGCGUGCUUAACACAUGCAAGUCGAACGGGAAACUUUUCAUUGAAGCUUCGGCAGAUUUGGUCUGUUUCUAGUGGCGGACGGGUGAGUAACGCGUGGGUAACCUGCCUUAUACAGGGGGAUAACAACCAGAAAUGGUUGCUAAUACCGCAUAAGCGCACAGGACCGCAUGGUCCGGUGUGAAAAACUCUGGUGGUAUAAGAUGGACCUGCGUUGGAUUAGCUAGUUGGCAGGGUAACGGCCUACCAAGGCGACGAUCCAUAGCCGGCCUGAGAGGGUGAACGGCCACAUUGGGACUGAGACACGGCCCAGACUCCUACGGGAGGCGGCAGUGGGGAAUAUUGCACAAUGGGGGAAACCCUGAUGCAGCGACGCCGCGUGAAGGAAGAAGUAUCUCGGUAUGUAAACUUCUAUCAGCAGGGAAGAUAGUGACGGUACCUGACUAAGAAGCCCCGGCUAACUACGUGCCAGCCGCCGCAGUAA
RNAcentral lists this ribosomal RNA (494 nucleotides) under uncultured bacterium. Its description in RNAcentral is "partial 16S ribosomal RNA". It matches the Rfam family "Bacterial small subunit ribosomal RNA", at positions 28 to 523 of the family's 1533-position model. The record is from RNAcentral.